Molecule: unclassified non-coding RNA, 174 nt
Filed under: uncultured Ascomycota
Lineage: Eukaryota; Fungi; Ascomycota
Description: sequence contains ITS2
Source: RNAcentral
CACCACUCAAGCUCCGCUUGGUCGUUGGUCGAUCGCCCCAGCUGGGGUGCCACCAAAAAUCAGCGGCGGUGCGGCCGGAUUUCCCAGCGCAGUAGAUCAGUGACCCUCGCUGGAGAGAGAACCGCCCUCACCGGCCGGAAAAACACGACUGCAUGAAAAGUAGUCUUUCGAAAC